RNAcentral lists this ribosomal RNA (445 nucleotides) under uncultured bacterium. RNAcentral's name for it is "partial 16S ribosomal RNA". It matches the Rfam family "Bacterial small subunit ribosomal RNA", at positions 354 to 796 of the family's 1533-position model. The record is from RNAcentral.
GUGAGGAAUAUUGCGCAAUGGAGGCAACUCUGACGCAGCCAUGCCGCGUGCAGGAAGAAGGCGCUACGCGUUGUAAACUGCUUUUAACCGGGAAGAAACCCCAGGACGUGUCCUGGGUUGACGGUACCGGAGGAAUAAGCACCGGCUAACUUCGUGCCAGCAGCCGCGGUAAAACGAAGGGUGCAAGCGUUAUCCGGAUUCAUUGGGUUUAAAGGGUGCGUAGGCGGAGCGUUAAGUCAGUGGUGAAUUCCUGCAGCUUAACUGUAGACUUGCCAUUGAUACUGGCGAUCUUGAGUGCGGUUGAAGUGGGCGGAAUGUGCCGUGUAGCGGUGAAAUGCUUAGAUAUGGCACAGAACACCAAUUGCGAAGGCAGCUCACUAAGGCGAUACUGACGCUGAGGCACGAAAGCGUGGGGAUCGAACAGGAUUAGAUACCCUAGUAGUCC